UUUUUUUGGCUUAUUUACGUGGUUUGCGGCCUUUGUGGUUUUUUUACGCCUUGGCCCGGGUACGGAAUAAAGAUUUCCUUUCUUACGAGAAGGGAGAGGCCGCUGACUUCAGAAACAGUGGGAGUCCCAGUUCGUCCUAUGUAAUAGGUGGCUGUGGCGCAGGAGUGGAGCGAACCUCCGGACCGGAGCGCUCCUGGAGAGCGUCUGCACGCUGUGCUGCGGACGCAGGGCGGCCCGUGGUCUCCAGGUGUGCCGUACUGCCUCCUCCGUUGAGCUCAGGGUCCUGCAGUACCGUACUGUGCGCUGUGGUGUGGCCAGGACGGGGAAGCACGGGCUGGUGUAAUCUAACCCUUGGAGACUUCUAGAGGAUUGGUGUCUUGUCCAAAAUUACUCGCCUUGAUCGCAGAGAGAGAUCACAAGUAGGCAGAGAAGCAGGCAGAGAGAGAGAGGAAGAAGCAAGCUCCCUGCUGAGCUGAGAUUCCCAAUGCGGGCUCCAUCAUAGGACCCUGGGAUUGUGAGCUCUAGGUAUCAGUCUCCUGGCCUGAAAUUAGGAUCUUUCAGUGGGUGUUUAGCCAUUAAUGAACACCUGUUUGGCAAUCUUGAGUAUAUUCUCCAUUAAAUGUGGUAGAGACACAGAGAGAGCACAAGCAGGUAGAGGCAGAGGGAGAAGCAGACUCCCUGGUGAGCAUGGAGUUCAAUGUGGGGCUCAAUCCCAGGACCCUGAGACCACGACCUGAGCCGAAGGCAGAUGUUUAACCGGCUGAGCCACCCAGAUUCCUGUCUUCAGAUAUUAUCCAGAGCAGAAAGAGCUGAUGUUCAGAGGAGCUCCAGCCAUACCCUAAGGUGAUGAUCUCCCUACCAGAAGUCUGAGUAGGUCUGCUCUGCCUACACUUUCUGGCAAUGGUGCAUCACUUCUAGAAACCAGCUACAGCCCACUCACAACUUCCAGCAAUGGCGCGCCCUUCUCUACAGACCAGUGCCUAUACUCCAGUGGCAACUUCUUCAGCGACCAGCAGGCUGUGUUAUCACUAUGGUAGCCACUUCAUCUCUGAAGAUAUCAGACUUUCAGCCUGGGAUAGGGGACAGCCAGCUCCUUGUAAUUAAUUCCUUUACUAUCUGUGUUUUCACAGCCUCCAGAUACUAGCUGCUUUUUUACACCUGACACUUUUGGAUUCCCUUUACUCAUUUUGGUAGAUGACCACCCUCUACUUAUUGUCUAGCAACAAUACUGUCUAACAAAAGAAUUGUCUAACGAAAGAAUUAUCUAACAAAAGAAUUCUAACAGUUUGUUAUUAUUCAGCUUUUCCUGUUCAAAUAAACUGGUGGUUUUGGUUUGGU
This is a long non-coding RNA of Mustela lutreola (European mink), 1338 nucleotides long. RefSeq lists it as uncharacterized. The transcript is spliced from 5 exons. Lineage: Eukaryota; Metazoa; Chordata; Mammalia; Carnivora; Mustelidae. The record is from RefSeq and is a predicted model, not a curated record.